UGAGUACGAGAUGCUACGGCAUCGAAGCAGUCUAUGUCAUACUUCCAAGAAAAGCUUGCACUGUCAUAAACAAAUAAUGCCCGUACCAUAACCGACACAGGUGGGUAGGUAGAGUAUACUAAGGGGCGCGAGAUAACUCUCUCUAAGGAACUCGGCAAAAUGACUCCGUAACUUCGGGAGAAGGAGUGCCUUAUUUAUAAGGUUGCAAUAACAAGAUCCAAGCAACUGUUUAUCAAAAACACAGGUCUCCGCUAAGUCGUAAGACGAUGUAUGGGGGCUGACGCCUGCCCAGUGCCAGAAGGUUAAAGAAGUUGGUUAGCAUUAGCGAAGCUGAUAACUGAAGCCCUGGUGAACGGCGGCCGUAACGAUAACGGUCCUAAGGUAGCGAAAUUCCUUGUCGGGUAAGUUCCGACCCGCACGAAAGGCGUAAUGAUUUGGAUACUGUCUCGGAGAGGGGCUCGGUGAAAUAGACUUGUCUGUGAAGAUGCGGACUACCUGCACCUGGACAGAAAGACCCUAUGAAGCUUUACUGUAACUUGAAAUUGAAAUUGGACUUUAUUUGCGCAGCAUAGGUGGGAGGCGUUGAAAAUAUUCUUGCGGGAAUAUUCUAGCCAUCAGUGAGAUACCACUCUUGUAAUGUUAGAUUUCUAACUUUGUAUCAUUAUCUGGUCAAAGAACAGUUUCAGGCGGGCAGUUUGACUGGGGCGGUCGCCUCCUAAACGGUAACGGAGGCGCACAAAGGUUUCCUCUGAACGGGUAGAAAUCGUAUCUAGAGUGUAAAGGCAUAAGGAAGCUUGACUGUGAGACCUACAAGUCGAGCAGGGACGAAAGUCGGUCUUAGUGAUCUGACGGUGCUGAGUGGAAAGGCCGUCACUCAACGGAUAAAAGUUACUCUAGGAUAACAGGCUGAUCUCCCCCAAGAGUUCACAUCGACGGGGAGGUUUGGCACCUCGAUGUCGGCUCAUCGCAUCCUGGGGCGGUAGUACGUCCCAAGGGUUGGGCUGUUCGCCCAUGAAAGCGGUACGCGAGCUGGGUUCAGAACGUCGUGAGACAGUUCGGUCCAUAUCCGGUGUAGGCGUUAGAAUAUUGAGAGGAGCCUUCUUUAGUACGAGAGGACCGAGAAGGACAUACCUCUGGUGUACCAGUUAUCGUGCCAACGGUAAACGCUGGGUAGCUAUGUAUGGAGAGGAUAACCGCUGAAAGCAUCUAAGUGGGAAGCCCACCUCAAGAUAAGUAUUCUCAUCACUAUAAGUGAGUAAGGUCACGGUAAGACUAACCGUUUGAUAGGCAUUAAGUGUAAAUGUAGUAAUGCAUGUGCUGAGAUGUCCUAACAGACCGAGGAC
RNAcentral lists this ribosomal RNA (1343 nucleotides) under metagenome. RNAcentral describes it as "bacterial LSU rRNA". It matches the Rfam family "Bacterial large subunit ribosomal RNA", at positions 1564 to 2925 of the family's 2925-position model. The record is from RNAcentral.